UNGGAGAGGAAAGUGGAAUUCCUAGUGUAGCGGUGAAAUGCGUAGAUAUUAGGAAGAACACCNGUGGCGAAGGCGACUUUCUGGACGAAAACUGACGCUGAGGCGCGAAAGCCAGGGGAGCGAACGGGAUUAGAUACCCCGGUAGUCCUGGCCGUAAACGAUGGGUACUAGGUGUAGGAGGUAUCGACCCCUUCUGUGCCGGAGUUAACGCAAUAAGUACCCCGCCUGGGAGUACGACCGCAAGGUCGAAACUCAAAGGAAUUGACGGGGGCCCGCACAAGCGGUGGAGUAUGUGGUUUAAUUCGACGCAACGCGAAGAACCUUACCAGGUCUUGACAUUGAUGGACAGAACCAGAGAUGGCUCCUCUUCUUCGGAAGCCAGAAAACAGGUGGUGCACGGUUGUCGUCAGCUCGUGUCGUGAGAUGUUGGGUUAAGUCCCGCAACGAGCGCGACCCCUAUCUUAUGUUGCCAGCACUUCGGGUGGGAACUCAUGAGAGACUGCCGCAGACAAUGCGGAGGAAGGCGGGGAUGACGUCAAAUCAUCAUGCCCCUUAUGACCUGGGCUACACACGUACUACAAUGGGAGUUAAUAGACGGAAGCGAGAUCGCGAGAUGGAGCAAACCCGAGAAACACUCUCUCAGUUCGGAUCGUAGGCUGCAACUCGCCUACGUGAAGUCGGAAUCGCUAGUAAUCGCAGGUCAGCAUACUGCGGUGAAUACGUUCCCGGGCCUUGUACACACCGCCCGUCACACCACGAAAGUCGGAAGUGCCCAAAGCCGGUGGGGUAACCUUCGGGAGCCAACCNU
Molecule: ribosomal RNA, 808 nt
Filed under: uncultured bacterium
Lineage: Bacteria
Description: bacterial SSU rRNA
Rfam family: Bacterial small subunit ribosomal RNA
Source: RNAcentral